This 1760-nucleotide long non-coding RNA is filed under the name Pelobates cultripes (western spadefoot toad). Lineage: Eukaryota; Metazoa; Chordata; Amphibia; Anura; Pelobatidae. The record is from RNAcentral.
GUCUGAUUGACAUCCAGGGGGGUGUAACAAGGUUUAUUUAUAAAAGUGAAAAUUUAUAUUAAAUCUGCAUUUUUUGUAAAAUGAAAAAAAGAGGACACAUUCUUCACACAUAAAGCACUUCAGCAAGUUAAAUUGCUUUAGGUGUCUGGGGUAUCCCUGUGGCAGACCACCAUUAUUUCGCCAACACCGAUUCCCUUUCCCAAAAUAAUGAUGCUCCAACACUCAGAAAAGUAAAUAUCGCUGGUAUCGCCUUUCCCCCCACACAUUAGUCGACACUGAAUGCUGUGAGUAGAUCAGUUUACUUCAGGCAAGCAUUCUCAAUUUAUACACAGAGUAAACUCCUGUGCCUGAGAGAUAAUUGAGUCAGGAAACUUACAACUCAAUUAUCUCCCAGGUACAGAAAAAUAUAACAAUUUUUAAACACCACAAAGGUACCCCCAAAAUCCCCUCGAGAGUCACAUCCCCGGAUAGCCCUGAUCUGAAUGCUUAACAUAUCCAAAAGCACUCAGAUCGGUUUGGUGGUUUGGAAUUUCCAUUGAGGUACUGACCGGCCAGCCACGGGGUAGAAGCCCAAAAUAGUUCCAGAGAAAUUGUGGCAACUGACAGUUUCAGUUUGAGGGUUUUUGUACGGAAGCAAUACACAAUAUCUGAAUGCUUUUAAGUGUUCAAUGUUCCCACCAUUCGGUAGUUUAUAUCUCCUGAAUGCCGUUCGUACAGGUGGUCGGGAACUUGAACAGGCAGCAGUUCCAUAUUCACUGGUGUUUGUGGGCGUGCCUACCCGAAAUAAGUUCCAGGCACUCAAUAACCAGGUAACGCUGCCUGCGUACGGGAGACAAGAUGGUUGCUAUCCAUUCUGUCGACCAUAUGCGUUCAGUUACAUGAAAUGGAGGCCACCCAGGGGAGGCUUUUAGUGAUAGUUUCCAUUGUGGUUUUGCACUGGAUACUUUGUAUUCCACAUUCUAAUUAGAUGUUGGGGUGGUCUUCAUUCAGGAACCAAACAAGGGGAAUUUAAAAUGAGCAAAUGAACAGGGGAAAACGAACAUUACUGAAUCAAGUGAUGGGGCAUUCCGUCACAGUCCCUUUAACCUUAACACAAAUGUGGAUGACAUGACAAAUAUGUUGUUUGCAAAGCAAUGCUUUAAACAGCAAUGUAUAAGUUCAGCACCUUGUGCUGGUCAGUAAACCUGUGCAGUAGUUAUUGGACAAACCAAAAUGUAAUACAAUUCUACAAAAUUUUCAUUCUUAGAAUGGCGAAUAAACGAGUUCCAUUUCUAACAAGAUAAAGGAAACAAAUUGUUUGAUGGACUAUGUAACGGCACCCCCAGGCAUAAAAGGGUUAAACCGCCGUUUAGAAGAUCCAGAGACACAGGCAGCUACUGUAAACACCAAUCCACCGAACCGGAGAAGCAUGUGAAUGCUCCCAAACAUACGAAUACUGUAAACAGACGAAUAGGAAAAACCAUACGAAUAGGUUUACACUCCUAGCAGUCGAACUGGAACAGCAUACAAUAAAUCCCCCCAAGAACGAGAUAAGGCUCUGUUUUGAGGGUCAAGCAGGAACAGACAGAGCUGUGGAUUUAUUGUUCUCAUAUACACAUUCUUACACAUUAGUACCACCCACAGGGUUUUGGAAAACAACCAAUAAACACGUACAAUACACUCAGACACUCCCACAGAAAAUCCUCCCCUCUGCCUGUGAUACAAUUACCUUACACAAUGGGUAAUGUAAUUAUCACAGGCAGAGAAAUACAGUAUUUCCA